AUACAUGCAAGUCGAGCGGACCGACGGGAGCUUGCUCCCUUAGGUCAGCGGCGGACGGGUGAGUAACACGUGGGUAACCUGCCUGUAAGACUGGGAUAACUCCGGGAAACCGGGGCUAAUACCGGAUGCUUGAUUGAACCNNNNNGCNCACUGGUUCAAUACAUAAAAGGUGGCUUUUAGCUACCACUUGCAGAUGGACCCGCGGCGCAUUAGCUAGUUGGUGAGGUAACGGCUCACCAAGGCGACGAUGCGUAGCCGACCUGAGAGGGUGAUCGGCNNCACACUGGAACUGAGACANNNCGGCCCAGACUCCUACGGGAGGCAGCAGUAGGGAAUCUUCCGCAAUGGACGAAAGUCUGACGGAGCAACGCCGCCGUGAGUGAUGAAGGUUUUCGGAUCGUAAAACUCUGUUGUUAGGGAAGAACAAGUACCGUUCGAAUAGGGCGGCACCUUGACGGUACCUAACCAGAAAGCCACGGCUAACUACGUGCCAGCAGCCGCGGUAAUACGUAGGUGGCAAGCGUUGUCCGGAAUUAUUGGGCGUAAAGCGCGCGCAGGCGGUUUCUUAAGUCUGAUGUGAAAGCCCCCGGCUCAACCGGGGAGGGUCAUUGGAAACUGGGGAACUUGAGUGCAGAAGAGGAGAGUGGAAUUCCACGUGUAGCGGUGAAAUGCGUAGAGAUGUGGAGGAACACCAGUGGCGAAGGCGACUCUCUGGUCUGUAACUGACGCUGAGGCGCGAAAGCGUGGGGAGCGAACAGGAUUAGAUACCCUGGUAGUCCACGCCGUAAACGAUGAGUGCUAAGUGUUAGAGGGUUUCCGCCCUUUAGUGCUGCAGCAAACGCAUUAAGCACUCCGCCUGGGGAGUACGGUCGCAAGACUGAAACUCAAAGGAAUUGACGGGGGCCCGCACAAGCGGUGGAGCAUGUGGUUUAAUUCGAAGCAACGCGAAGAACCUUACCAGGUCUUGACAUCCUCUGACAACCCUAGAGAUAGGGCUUCCCCUUCGGGGGCAGAGUGACAGGUGGUGCAUGGUUGUCGUCAGCUCGUGUCGUGAGAUGUUGGGUUAAGUCCCGCAACGAGCGCAACCCUUGAUCUUAGUUGCCAGCAUUCAGUUGGGCACUCUAAGGUGACUGCCGGUGACAAACCGGAGGAAGGUGGGGAUGACGUCAAAUCAUCAUGCCCCUUAUGACCUGGUAGCNNNNNUCNNGNNGANNNNCACNNACNNGCUAGCAUACAANNNUGCGNNGCAGAAUCNNANNNNNNANUNNACNNNGGGCAGCGAAGCCGCGAGGCUAAGCCAAUCCCACAAAUCUGUUCUCAGUUCGGAUCGCAGUCUGCAACUCGACUGCGUGAAGCUGGAAUCGCUAGUAAUCGCGGAUCAGCAUGCCGCGGUGAAUACGUUCCCGGGCCUUGUACACACCGCCCGUCACACCACGAGAGUUUGUAACACCCGAAGUCGGUGAGGUAACCUUUUGGAGCCAGCCGCCGA
RNAcentral lists this ribosomal RNA (1489 nucleotides) under Bacillus licheniformis. RNAcentral's name for it is "16S ribosomal RNA". It matches the Rfam family "Bacterial small subunit ribosomal RNA". The record is from RNAcentral. Lineage: Bacteria; Bacillati; Bacillota; Bacilli; Caryophanales; Bacillaceae.